GGUGAGUAACGCGUAGGUAAACUACCAUAGGGACCUGGAUAGCCCUACGAAAGUAGGAUUAAUACGGGAUGUGCUUAUAUUUUCAUAAGAUUUUAUAAGUAAAUAGUUUUUCUGCUCUAUGAUGUGCCUGCGUUAGAUUAGUUUGUUGGUGGGGUAAUGGCCUACCAAGGCUGCGAUCUAUAGCCGGGCUGAGAGGCUGACCGGCCAUAUUGGGACUGAGACACGGCCCAGACUCCUACGGGAGGCAGCAGCUAAGAAUCUUCCGCAAUAGUCGAUAGACUGACGGAGCGACGCCGCGUGAGUGAUGAAGGCCUUUUAGGUUGUAAAACUCUUUUAUAUUGGAAGAAUAUAUAGUAUUAGACUAUAUUGACUGUACUUUAUGAAUAAGGUCCGGCUAACUACGUGCCAGCAGCCGCGGUAAUACGUAGGGACCGAGCGUUGUUCGGAAUUAUUGGGCGUAAAGGGUAUGUAGGCGGUCUAUUAAGUUAGAUGUGAAAAAUCUGGGCUCAACCGAGAUCUUGCGUCUAAUACUGAUAGGCUAGAGUCUCUGAGAGGAAGGCGGAAUUCCUGGUGUAGGGGUGAAAUCUAUAGAUAUCAGGAAGAACACCGGUUGCGAAGGCGGCCUUCUGGCAGAGGACUGACGCUGAGGUACGAAAGUUAGGGUAGCAAACAGGAUUAGAGACCCUGGUAGUCCUAACCGUAAACGUUGUAUACUAGGUGGUUGAAGUAUUGAUCCUUUGACUGCCGCAGCAAACGCAUUAAGUAUACCGCCUGGGGAGUAUGCCGGCAUCGGUGAAACUCAAAGGAAUUGACGGGGCUCCGCACAGGCAGUGGAGCAUGUUGCUUAAUUCGCUGAUACGCGAGUAACCUUACCAGGUCUUGACAUAUACCUGUCUGGUGUAGAAAUACAUCAUUGCUUCGGCAUGGGUAUACAGGUGGUGCAUGGUGGUCGUCAGCUCGUGCCAUGAGGUGUUGGGUUAAGUCCCGCAACGAGCGCAACCCUUAUUCUUUGUUGCUAACAGGUUAAGCUGAGCACUCUAAGGAGACUGCCGGUGACAAACCGGAGGAAGGUGGGGACGACGUCAAAUCAUCACGGCCCUUAUGACCUGGGCUGCAAACGUGCUACAAUGGGUGGUACAAAGAGUUGCGAGACCGCGAGGUGGAGCUAAUCUCAAAAAACUAUCCUCAGUUCG
This 1193-nucleotide ribosomal RNA is filed under the name uncultured organism. RNAcentral describes it as "bacterial SSU rRNA". It matches the Rfam family "Bacterial small subunit ribosomal RNA", at positions 105 to 1295 of the family's 1533-position model. The record is from RNAcentral.